AUUGAACGCUGGCGGCAUGCCUUACACAUGCAAGUCGAACGGCAGCACGGGUGCUUGCACCUGGUGGCGAGUGGCGAACGGGUGAGUAAUACAUCGGAACAUGUCCUGUAGUGGGGGAUAGCCCGGCGAAAGCCGGAUUAAUACCGCAUACGAUCUACGGAUGAAAGCGGGGGCCCUUCGGGCCUCGCGCUAUAGGGUUGGCCGAUGGCUGAUUAGCUAGUUGGUGGGGUAAAGGCCUACCAAGGCGACGAUCAGUAGCUGGUCUGAGAGGACGACCAGCCACACUGGGACUGAGACACGGCCCAGACUCCUACGGGAGGCAGCAGUGGGGAAUUUUGGACAAUGGGCGAAAGCCUGAUCCAGCAAUGCCGCGUGUGUGAAGAAGGCCUUCGGGUUGUAAAGCACUUUUGUACGGAAAGAAAUCCUUGGCCCUAAUACGGUCGGGGGAUGACGGUACCGGAAGAAUAAGCACCGGCUAACUACGUG
Molecule: ribosomal RNA, 486 nt
Filed under: uncultured bacterium
Lineage: Bacteria
Description: partial 16S ribosomal RNA
Rfam family: Bacterial small subunit ribosomal RNA
Source: RNAcentral